This 212-nucleotide long non-coding RNA is filed under the name Setaria italica (foxtail millet). RNAcentral's name for it is "long non-coding RNA (SITA_LNC003734)". The record is from RNAcentral. Lineage: Eukaryota; Viridiplantae; Streptophyta; Magnoliopsida; Poales; Poaceae.
GCGAAUCCAAAAUCCAGAAGCUGGCCGGCUUCCAAACAGGGGUGGAUUUUGGUGAGGAUUCCAGAAGUUGGAUUCUGGAUUCGUAAAAUCCCGGAAUCUGGAGCUGGCUUGCUUUUACCUCUACUUAGAUGGUGAAGUUACCAUUUUGCCCAUGCUAAUUUCGAUAAAUUACUAUAUUCUGCCAUCCAAUCCCCUGCACUCCCCUAUCCUCC